GUUGUGUUGUGUUGUGUUGUCUAUAGUUUCUCUUAAUGCUAGAGGGUGUUGUGUUGUGUUGUGUUGUCUAUAGUUUCUCUUAAUGCUAGAGGGUGUUGUGUUGUCUAUAGUGUGUCUUAAUGCUAGAGGGUGUUGUGUUGUGUUGUCUAUAGUUUAUCUUAAUGCUAGAGGGUGUUGUGUUGUCUAUAGUUUCUCUUAAUGCUAGAGGGUGUUGUGUUGUGUUGUGUUGUCUAUAGUGUGUCUUAAUGCUAGAGGGUGUUGUGUUGUCUAUAGUGUGUCUUAAUGCUAGAGGGUGUUGUGUUGUCUAUAGUUUAUCUUAAUGCUAGAGGGUAGGGUGUUGUGUUGUCUAUAGUGUGUCUUAAUGCUAGAGGGUGUUGUGUUGUGUUGUGUUGUCUAUAGUGUGUCUUAAUGCUAGAGGGUGUUGUGUUGUGUUGUCUAUAGUGUGUCUUAAUGCUAGAGGGUAGGGUGUUGUGUUGUGUUGUCUAUAGUGUGUCUUAAUGCUAGAGGGUGUUGUGUUGUCUAUAGUGUGUCUUAAU
Molecule: long non-coding RNA, 536 nt
Filed under: Salmo salar (Atlantic salmon)
Lineage: Eukaryota; Metazoa; Chordata; Actinopteri; Salmoniformes; Salmonidae
Description: lncRNA (ENSSSAG00000117526.1)
Source: RNAcentral